This is a non-coding RNA of Gymnopus androsaceus JB14, 93 nucleotides long. NCBI's taxonomy places the organism in Eukaryota, Fungi, Basidiomycota, Agaricomycetes, Agaricales, Omphalotaceae. The record is from the annotation of a GenBank genome assembly.
GCAUUAAUGGGGUAGUGGUAACCUGGGUCGUUGCCAUAGCGCUAUUGUCUUUGUGCUUUCGACCCGCCGGGGGUUCGAUUCCCUCUUAAUGCA